RNAcentral lists this ribosomal RNA (253 nucleotides) under uncultured bacterium. RNAcentral's name for it is "partial 16S ribosomal RNA". It matches the Rfam family "Bacterial small subunit ribosomal RNA", at positions 524 to 776 of the family's 1533-position model. The record is from RNAcentral.
UACGGGGGUGGCAAGCGUUGUUCGGAAUUACUGGGCGUAAAGGGCGCGUAGGCGGGGAGGUAAGUCGGGUGUGAAAUCCCCGGGCUUAACCUGGGAACUGCGCUUCUAACUGGCAGGCUUGAGUGUGGCAGAGGGGGGUGGAAUUCCACGUGUAGCAGUGAAAUGCGUAGAGAUGUGGAGGAACACCGAUGGCGAAGGCAGCCCCCUGGGCUAACACUGACGCUCAUGCACGAAAGCGUGGGGAGCAAACAGG